This 253-nucleotide ribosomal RNA is filed under the name uncultured bacterium. RNAcentral describes it as "partial 16S ribosomal RNA". It matches the Rfam family "Bacterial small subunit ribosomal RNA", at positions 524 to 776 of the family's 1533-position model. The record is from RNAcentral.
UACGGAGGGUGCAAGCGUUGUUCGGAAUUAUUGGGCGUAAAGCGCGUGUAGGCGGCCUUGCAAGUCGGGUGUGAAAGCCCUCAGCUCAACUGAGGAAGCGCGCCCGAAACUGCAGAGCUUGAGUACCGGAGAGGAUGGCGGAAUUCCCCAAGUAGAGGUGAAAUUCGUAGAUAUGGGGAGGAACACCGGUGGCGAAGGCGGCCAUCUGGACGGAUACUGACGCUGAGACGCGAAAGCGUGGGGAGCAAACAGG